GACCAAGAGAUUUAGUUAUAUGAAUAGGUAAAAAGAUAGUUAAGUAUUGCAAGAGUUUAAUGAUCUUUUGUAGAAAAGUAAAAUUUGGAUAUAAAGGACUAAUUUUUUAUAAACUAACUAUACUGAAGCUAUGAUAAUUUUGAGGGAAACUGGGAUUAGAUACCCCAUUAUUCAUAAAUUGUAAAUUAAUGUGAAUUUACCAGAGUAGUAUGAAUAUAAAAAUUUAAAACUCAAAGGGCUUGGCGGUGUUUUAGACCAAUUAGGGGAACCUGUCUCGUAAUCGACAAUCCGCGUUAUACCUAACCUUUUUUGGUAAACAGUUUGUAUACCGUCGUCGUCAGGUAACUUUUAAAAAUAAAGAAGUUAGCAUUAAUAAUAAUUGUUGAUUAAGACGUCAGAUCAAGGUGCAGCUUAUAAAAAGGAGAGGAUGGGUUACAAUUAUAAAAUAAUAAUUACGGAUAAUUUAAUGGAAAAAGUUUUAAGGAGGACUUAAAAGUAAUGUUGUAAUAUAUAAAUAAUUUGAAUUAGGCUCUGAAACGUGC
RNAcentral lists this ribosomal RNA (542 nucleotides) under Falsuszafrona idalina. RNAcentral describes it as "partial small subunit ribosomal RNA". The record is from RNAcentral. Lineage: Eukaryota; Metazoa; Mollusca; Gastropoda; Neogastropoda; Columbellidae.